GUGGGGAAUAUUGGACAAUGGGCGAAAGCCUGAUCCAGCCAUGCCGCGUGGGUGAAGAAGGUCUUCGGGUUGUAAAGCACUUUAAGUUGGGAGGAAGGGCAGUAAGUUAAUACCUUGCUGUUUUGACGUUACCGACAGAAUAAGCACCGGCUAACUUCGUGCCAGCAGCCGCGGUAAUACGAAGGGUGCAAGCGUUAAUCGGAAUUACUGGGCGUAAAGCGCGCGUAGGUGGUUUUGUAAGUUGGAGGUGAAAUCCACGGGCUCAACCUGGGAACUGCCGUCAAAACUGCCUGACUAGAGUACGGUAGAGGGUAGUGGAAUUCCCUGUGUAGCGGUGAAAUGCGUAGAUAUAGGAAGGAACACCAGUGGCGAAGGCGACUACCUGGACUGAUACUGACGCUGAGGUGCGAAAGCGUGGGGAGCAAACAGGAUUAGAUACCCUAGUAGUCC
Molecule: ribosomal RNA, 450 nt
Filed under: uncultured bacterium
Lineage: Bacteria
Description: partial 16S ribosomal RNA
Rfam family: Bacterial small subunit ribosomal RNA
Source: RNAcentral